This 530-nucleotide ribosomal RNA is filed under the name Enterobacter sp. B24a. Its description in RNAcentral is "bacterial SSU rRNA". It matches the Rfam family "Bacterial small subunit ribosomal RNA", at positions 50 to 568 of the family's 1533-position model. Lineage: Bacteria; Pseudomonadati; Pseudomonadota; Gammaproteobacteria; Enterobacterales; Enterobacteriaceae. The record is from RNAcentral.
AACACAUGCAAGUCGAGCGGCAGCGGGAAGUAGCGUUGCUACUUUGCCGGCGAGCGGCGGACGGGUGAGUAAUGUUUUUGAAACUGCCUGAUGGAGGGGGAUAGCUACUGGAAACGGGGGCUAAUACCGCAUAACGUCGCAAGACCAAAGAGGGGGACCUUCGGGCCUCUUGCCAUCAGAUGUGCCCAGAUGGGAUUAGCUAGUAGGUGGGGUAACGGCUCACCUAGGCGACGAUCCCUAGCUGGUCUGAGAGGAUGACCAGCCACACUGGAACUGAGACACGGUCCAGACUCCUACGGGAGGCAGCAGUGGGGAAUAUUGCACAAUGGGCGCAAGCCUGAUGCAGCCAUGCCGCGUGUAUGAAGAAGGCCUUCGGGUUGUAAAGUACUUUCAGCGGGGAGGAAGGCGAUAAGGUUAAUAACCUUGUCGAUUGACGUUACCCGCAGAAGAAGCACCGGCUAACUCCGUGCCAGCAGCCGCGGUAAUACGGAGGGUGCAAGCGUUAAUCGGAAUUACUGGGCGUAAAGCGC